RNAcentral lists this ribosomal RNA (305 nucleotides) under uncultured bacterium. RNAcentral's name for it is "bacterial SSU rRNA". It matches the Rfam family "Bacterial small subunit ribosomal RNA", at positions 335 to 633 of the family's 1533-position model. The record is from RNAcentral.
AUCCUACGGGAGGCAGCAGUAGGGAAUCUUCCACAAUGGGCGAAAGCCUGAUGGAGCAACGCCGCGUGGGUGAAGAAGGUCUUCGGAUCGUAAAACCCUGUUGUCAGAGAAGAAAGUGCGUGAGAGUAACUGUUCACAUUUCGACGGUAUCUAACCAGAAAGCCACGGCUAACUACGUGCUAGCAGCCGCGGUAAUACGUAGGUGGCAAGCGUUAUCCGGAUUUAUUGGGCGUAAAGGGAACGCAGGCGGUCUUUUAAGUCUGAUGUGAAAGCCGUCGGCUUAACCGGAGUAGUGCAUUGGAAGU